AUUGAACGCUGGCGGCAUGCCUUACACAUGCAAGUCGAACGGCAGCACGGGAGCAAUCCUGGUGGCGAGUGGCGAACGGGUGAGUAAUAUAUCGGAACGUGCCCGGUCGUGGGGGAUAACGUAGCGAAAGCUACGCUAAUACCGCAUACGAUCUACGGAUGAAAGCGGGGGAUCGCAAGACCUCGCGCGAUUGGAGCGGCCGAUAUCAGAUUAGGUAGUUGGUGAGGUAAAGGCUCACCAAGCCGACGAUCUGUAGCUGGUCUGAGAGGACGACCAGCCACACUGGGACUGAGACACGGCCCAGACUCCUACGGGAGGCAGCAGUGGGGAAUUUUGGACAAUGGGCGCAAGCCUGAUCUAGCAAUGCCGCGUGCAGGAUGAAGGCCUUC
This 389-nucleotide ribosomal RNA is filed under the name uncultured bacterium. Its description in RNAcentral is "bacterial SSU rRNA". It matches the Rfam family "Bacterial small subunit ribosomal RNA", at positions 30 to 419 of the family's 1533-position model. The record is from RNAcentral.